RNAcentral lists this ribosomal RNA (650 nucleotides) under Tricholoma bakamatsutake. Its description in RNAcentral is "partial small subunit ribosomal RNA". It matches the Rfam family "Bacterial small subunit ribosomal RNA", at positions 408 to 911 of the family's 1533-position model. Lineage: Eukaryota; Fungi; Basidiomycota; Agaricomycetes; Agaricales; Tricholomataceae. The record is from RNAcentral.
AUGAGUCAUUAAUUUGGUGAUUAUGAUAACAUAAGGGAAAAAAAAUGAUAUUACCUUAUUAUUAGUGUUGUCCAAAACUGGUGCCAGAAGACUCGGUAAGACCAGAGACGCAAACGUUAGUCAUCUUAAUCAGGCGUAAAGGGUGUGUAGGCUGCUUUAAAAGUUUAAAUCUUUUUAAUAGCUCUUUUGCCGUUGUCAUACCAUUAUUUUUUUGUUUUUGUUUUUUGUUUUAUAAAUAAUAAACAAAAAUGAAUAUAAAGGUAGUACAUUUUAUAAAUUUAAUUAAUUUAAUUAAUUUAAUUAAUUUAAUUUUAUAAUUAUAAAGGGGACAAAAAAGAUAUCCCGGUUUAAGUAAAAAGAAUAAAAUGAAUUAAAGCUAGGAUCAAAUUGAGGAUAAACCAAAUAAUACUUAGAGUAGGGCCGAUAUCCGCAGAUACUAAGGGGAAUACUAAAGGUGAAAGCUUUUUAUCUACUAUUGAUUGACGCUGAGAAACGAAGGUGAGAACAGGAAAUAGGAUUUGAUACCCAGAUACCUCUCACUGUCAACGAUGAAUGGUGGUUGUUAGUUUUAAUAAAAACUGGUAACGAUGUUAACACGAUAACCAUUCCGCCUUGCGAGUACGGUUGCAAAACUGAAACCAAAAAAAUUA